AUUGAACGCUGGCGGCAGGCUUAACACAUGCAAGUCGAGCGGGGGAAGGUAGCUUGCUACCGGACCUAGCGGCGGACGGGUGAGUAAUGCUUAGGAAUCUGCCUAUUAGUGGGGGACAACAUCUCGAAAGGGAUGCUAAUACCGCAUACGUCCUACGGGAGAAAGCAGGGGAUCUUCGGACCUUGCGCUAAUAGAUGAGCCUAAGUCGGAUUAGCUAGUUGGUGGGGUAAAGGCCUACCAAGGCGACGAUCUGUAGCGGGUCUGAGAGGAUGAUCCGCCACCCUGGGACUGAGACACGGCCCAGACUCCUACGGGAGGCAGCAGUGGGGAAUAUUGGACAAUGGGCGGAAGCCUGAUCCAGCCAUGCCGCGUGUGUGAAGAAGGCCCUUUUGGUUGUAAAGCACUUUAAGCGAGGAGGAGGCUACUUAGAUUAAUACUCUGGGAUAGUGGACGUUACUCGCAGAAUAAGCACCGGCUAACUCUGUGCCAGCCGCCGCCGUAA
Molecule: ribosomal RNA, 502 nt
Filed under: uncultured bacterium
Lineage: Bacteria
Description: partial 16S ribosomal RNA
Rfam family: Bacterial small subunit ribosomal RNA
Source: RNAcentral